RNAcentral lists this ribosomal RNA (253 nucleotides) under uncultured bacterium. Its description in RNAcentral is "partial 16S ribosomal RNA". It matches the Rfam family "Bacterial small subunit ribosomal RNA", at positions 524 to 776 of the family's 1533-position model. The record is from RNAcentral.
UACGUAGGCAGCGAGCGUUGUUCGGAGUUACUGGGCGUAAAGGGUGUGUAGGCGGCUCUCCAAGUUUGGUGUGAAAUCUCCCGGCUCAACCGGGAGGGUGCGCCGAAAACUGGAAGGCUAGAGUGCGGGAUGGGAGAGUGGAAUUCCUGGUGUAGCGGUGAAAUGCGUAGAUAUCUGGAGGAACACCGGUGGCGAAGGCGGCAUCCUGGACCGGUAUUGACGCUGAGGCGCGAAAGCCAGGGGAGCAAACGGG